CAAAUUAGAAUCCAAGGAAGUUGUCAUGUCAUCACUUCAUUUUUUUGCGCCUGCGCAUAAAUCUGAGAAACAAACCACAUUUGUUCCGGACCUGGGAUGCCUUCCGGACCUGGGAUGCCUGCCUUCUGAUGGAGAUAAUCAAAGGUGGAGAGAGUCUCCGCUAGGAAUUUACGACCUGAGAUAACAGAACCUGGGUGUAGGAGAGAGUGGGAAACCAUGAUCUAUACCCAGAAAGGGCCACAUCAUGACACAGGCCUCAUGCCAGUCAGAAUGGCCUCCAGUUUCUCCGUCUCCUCAUCAGUAAAGAGCCACUGCUUGUCAGAGCCAUGCUGCCUCUUCUGUGGAGGCUCCACAACCUCCUCCUCAUCAGUGUCCUCAAAGUCACACCAGGCCUUUGUCUUCUGUGUCACUGGAUGUAUGCCAGUCUCUCUUUCCAUGUCAGCCACAAUGAUGUAUAUAAACCCUGGAAUGCUGAUGCUAUGUAUUGGCCAAUGAGAGGCUUUGAAGCCUCUGGUUAUAUUUGUGCUCCACAGAAGAAGCAGUCCUCCAUAGGGAUGAAUGGAAUUCUACAGUAUUUUAUUUCAAUUCAAUGUUUCAAGGAAAAAAUUAUAUGUAUUUACGUAUUUUUUGUUGUAGUGGGGACAGUAACAUUAGAACUUUCAAAAAAUGAUAGUUCAAGGAAACGUUUAUAUAUUUUUCAUUUUUAUUCGUAUGUUUAUCUCAUAAUAUAAUUUAAAAGUAUGCAUUAAG
RNAcentral lists this long non-coding RNA (750 nucleotides) under Salmo salar (Atlantic salmon). RNAcentral's name for it is "lncRNA (ENSSSAG00000086941.1)". The record is from RNAcentral. Lineage: Eukaryota; Metazoa; Chordata; Actinopteri; Salmoniformes; Salmonidae.